CUCGGACGGACGGGCGCGCGCACGCACACACUAAGGCGCGCGAGCCCUCAACUCAACGUUUUAAAGACGGACAAAAAAAGAGAUACUGGUACAGAAAACAGUGAACAGCUGAUAAUUGGGCACUGAGCAGCAUUUCCGAGAGCAUGACCAGUUCGCACUGUUCUACAACUGGCUAAGUGGUUGAGCUGAUGUUUACUGGAAGACAUGCAACAUCUUUGUAAACACUUGACCAUAAUACCCAUCUGGCAUCUGGAAAGUAUUCACAGCGCUUCUCUUUUUCCACAUUUUGUUAUGUUACAGACGUAUUCUAUAAAUUCAU
This is a long non-coding RNA of Silurus meridionalis, 319 nucleotides long. RefSeq lists it as uncharacterized. The record is from RefSeq and is a predicted model, not a curated record. The transcript has 4 exons. NCBI's taxonomy places the organism in Eukaryota, Metazoa, Chordata, Actinopteri, Siluriformes, Siluridae.